UACGGAGGUGGCAAGCGUUACUCGGAAUCAUUGGGUGUAAAGGGCAAGUAGGCGGCCUGUUAAGUGAGGGGUGAAAUCUUCCGACUCAAUCGGGAAACUGCCUUUCAAACUGACGGGCUUGAGGCAAGAAGAGGGAAAUGGAAUUCUCGGUGUAAGGGUGAAAUCUGUAGAUAUCGAGAAGAACACCUGCGGCGAAAGCGAUUUCCUGGUCUUGUCCUGACGCUGAAUUGCGAAAGCUAGGGGAGCAAACAGA
Molecule: unclassified non-coding RNA, 253 nt
Filed under: uncultured bacterium
Lineage: Bacteria
Description: contains 16S-23S intergenic spacer region
Rfam family: Bacterial small subunit ribosomal RNA
Source: RNAcentral